UUUUUUUUUUUUUUUUGAGACGGAGUCUCGCUCUGUCGGCCAGGCUGGAGUGCAGUGGCCGGAUCUCAGCUCACUGCAAGCUCCGCCUCCCGGGUUCACGCCAUUCUCCUGCCUCAGCCUCCCGAGUAGCUGGGACUACAGGCGUCCACCACCUUGCCCGGCUAGUUUUUUUUUUUGUAUUUUUAGUAGAGACGGGGUUUCACCGUAUUAGCCAGGAUGGUCUCGAUCUCCUGACCUCGUGAUCCGCCCGUCUCAGCCUCCCAAAGUGCUGGGAUUACAGGCUUGAGCCACCGCGCCCGGCUAAAUAAGACUUUUUUAAAGCUGAGUGUAGUCACGGAUUCGUAUCAUAAAAUAUCUAUGAGUUGGGGGAUCCUAUUCUCUUGAGGUUCCAAGAUAAAACUUGGGGCUGGUGGGCCUGUCAGAAAGUGACGUUCUUUACUUACCACAGUUCAGGAACCCUGUACAGAGACUAUGUAGACAAACAUGAGGCCAGUUUUCCCAAGGGGCUUUUAUUGGCUCUGUAAGUCAAGUUUGAGUCCUUAAAGGAAAGCACACCAUUCCAGUCAAAGCCUUGGUAGAAUAACCAGUUUCUCCAAGUGUGUCCUCUCAUACAUGAAAAGAGAUUCUUAUUGCACUUAUGUAAAUAACUGUAUUGCCACAAAUAGCUUGCAAAUUCUGGAGAAAUCAGGAAGAGGAAAAACAAAUAUGUUAUAAAUUUUGUUCAUAGGAAUAUACUAAAUUGUUAAAUCCUGUUAAUCGCUCCAAAGAAAAGUUUCCUUGGCUCUGAAAAAGCAAAGCAAAGGAUUAGCAACAUUUUAAGUGAAAAGUCAAAAGGAUUACUUCAGUCUUGUAAUAGUUCAGUCGCUGUAGUUAAUUCCUGUUCCGCUUGAUAUUCCUGAACAUUUCAGUUCUCCAUGGGCCCUGAAAGUUUUUAUUUUAUUCUGAUGUCACCAUCUCCAAAGCUGUUAAAAACUUGUAUGCAAGAGCACCUGUUGGAGUUUUAUAGCUUUUUAUAAAAUCACCUUGUAAGAAGGACCAAAAUAAGACAACAAUUGUCUGUGAAUGACAAAAGGUUUUAGGGCAGCCACAGUCAAAAUAACCAUUGACAAGAAAAUUCAUUACCUCUGUGGCACACGAUAAUUUAACAUAAUAAUUAUAAUUACUACUGAUAAUGUACACUAAGUCAUAUCAGAAUUAUAGGAGUUUCCUAUGAUUUGGGAACACAUAACGAUAACAUGUUUAUACAAACACAGCCCAAAGAAACCCAAACACCAUUUCAUAUUUGACAACACUUCCUAUAUAAUUUUUAUACCAAAUAGGACAAAUUAUGUCAUUUUUGGACUUUAUGGAACUUAAUAUCCUAAAAGAUUAAUUAGGUCAGAAAAAGACAUAAUUUAUAAUUUGAUUUUGGAAAGUUUGUCAAAGGUUUAAAACACUUGAUAUCACAGGCUAUUGCAAAAUAAGUCAUUCAUUUAACCAAAGUGCUAACUUGAGGAUUUCAAAAAAGGUGAAAACCUUCAUUCUUUCAGAGAAAACUUAAUUUUCCAAACAAUAAACCCUAAUAAAAACAAGAAGCCAAUUACAUUUGUUUUUCAAAAUUUUAUAAUUAAUAAAAUUUUAAUCUUGAUCAUAAGAUAUAAUUUUCAUAAGCCUUUUAUAAACUUUAUAGCCUUAAUUUAUUAAGGAGUUUGUUAAUGCUUCCAGAAAACCUUGUUAAUCUGACACAGGGGUCCAUAUGCUAGUUUUGCAUCAGUGUGCUUUUGACAUUAAUGAUUUAUUUAUAGAGAAACUGAGCUUAUUUUAUCUCUCAAAGUCAGCCUUUACAAUCUUACACACCCACCUCUUCAUGAUAGUCCCUGGGCCUUGAGGAAUUGAAUAGCUUUAAUUUCUGGCCUGAUGUCUCAGGAAUGCAGUUUAUUUUGAAGGGCAUCUUCUACUGAGUCUGAAGAUGGAGCUUUAAUUCCUGUCAGUGUUUAAAAUUUAGCAGGACUUGGUGUUCUUUUUAGAUCCAGGAGUCAAACCCUGUAACUCAAUGUCACAAGUACUUUAAAUGUGCAUACAGAGAGAUACAUGGAUGUAAUAACUUUAAUUUUAAAAAACAUUAAUCUCAGUUUUUUUCCUACGCAAACCAAAACUUAAUAAUAAUAUGACAGCAUGAUCACAUAAAAGUUUUUGCUUUUUAAAAAAAUACAUCCUCUUAUUGUGACUUACACAGACCAUUCAUGACAUGCUUGGACUUUUUGGGUUGACCUGAAUAUCUUUUUUAUAAAC
Long non-coding RNA from Macaca fascicularis (crab-eating macaque), 2271 nucleotides. Lineage: Eukaryota; Metazoa; Chordata; Mammalia; Primates; Cercopithecidae. The record is from Ensembl.